CGCGGCCUAUCAGCUUGUUGGUGGGGUGAUGGCUUACCAAGGCUUUGACGGGUAGCCGGCCUGAGAGGGCGACCGGCCACACUGGGACUGAGACACGGCCCAGACUCCUACGGGAGGCAGCAGUGGGGAAUAUUGCACAAUGGACGCAAGUCUGAUGCAGCGACGCCGCGUGAGGGAUGACGGCCUUCGGGUUGUAAACCUCUUUCGCCGGGGACGAAGCCUUUUGGGGUGACGGUACCUGGAGAAGAAGCGCCGGCCAACUACGUGCCAGCAGCCGCGGUAAGACGUAGGGCGCGAGCGUUGUCCGGAUUUAUUGGGCGUAAAGAGCUCGUAGGCGGCUUGCCGCGUCUGCCGUGAAAACCAGCAGCUUAACUGUUGGCUUGCGGUUGAUACGGGUGGGCUGGAGUUCGGUAGGGGAGACUGGAAUUCCUGGUGUAGCGGUGAAAUGCGCAGAUAUCAGGAGGAGCACCGGUGGCGAAGGCGGGUCUCUGGGCCGAUACUGACGCUGAGGAGCGAAAGCGUGGGGAGCGAACAGGAUUAGAUACCCUGGUAGUCCACGCUGUAAACGUUGGGCGCUAGGUGUGGGGGGCCUCUCCGGUUUCCUGCGCCGUAGCUAACGCAUUAAGCGCCCCGCCUGGGGAGUACGG
RNAcentral lists this ribosomal RNA (647 nucleotides) under uncultured Actinomycetes bacterium. RNAcentral describes it as "bacterial SSU rRNA". It matches the Rfam family "Bacterial small subunit ribosomal RNA", at positions 232 to 885 of the family's 1533-position model. The record is from RNAcentral. Lineage: Bacteria; Bacillati; Actinomycetota; Actinomycetes.